CGUGCGUAGGUGGCCAAUUAAGUCAAAUGUGAAAUCCCCGAGCUUAACUUGGGAAUUGCAUUCGAUACUGGUUGGCUAGAGUAUGGGAGAGGAUGGUAGAAUUCCAGGUGUAGCGGUGAAAUGCGUAGAGAUCUGGAGGAAUACCGAUGGCGAAGGCAGCCAUCUGGCCUAAUACUGACACUGAGGUACGAAAGCAUGGGGAGCAAACAGGAUUAGAUACCCUGGUAGUCCAUGCCGUAAACGAUGUCUACUAGCCGUUGGGGUCUUUGAGACUUUAGUGGCGCAGCUAACGCGAUAAGUAGACCGCCUGGGGAGUACGGCCGCAAGACUAAAACUCAAAUGAAUUGACG
This 350-nucleotide ribosomal RNA is filed under the name Acinetobacter sp. Its description in RNAcentral is "bacterial SSU rRNA". It matches the Rfam family "Bacterial small subunit ribosomal RNA", at positions 566 to 915 of the family's 1533-position model. The record is from RNAcentral. Lineage: Bacteria; Pseudomonadati; Pseudomonadota; Gammaproteobacteria; Moraxellales; Moraxellaceae.